UACGUAGGGUGCAAGCGUUGUCCGGAAUUAUUGGGCGUAAAGCGCUUGUAGGCGGUUUGUCGCGUCUGCUGUGAAAUUUCGGGGCUCAACCCCGAACUUGCAGUGGGUACGGGCAGACUAGAGUGUGGUAGGGGAGACUGGAAUUCCUGGUGUAGCGGUGAAAUGCGCAGAUAUCAGGAGGAACACCGAUGGCGAAGGCAGGUCUCUGGGCCAUAACUGACGCUGAGAAGCGAAAGCAUGGGGAGCGAACAGG
RNAcentral lists this ribosomal RNA (253 nucleotides) under uncultured bacterium. RNAcentral's name for it is "partial 16S ribosomal RNA". It matches the Rfam family "Bacterial small subunit ribosomal RNA", at positions 524 to 776 of the family's 1533-position model. The record is from RNAcentral.